RNAcentral lists this ribosomal RNA (429 nucleotides) under Actinomycetes bacterium. Its description in RNAcentral is "Actinobacteria bacterium partial 16S ribosomal RNA". It matches the Rfam family "Bacterial small subunit ribosomal RNA", at positions 355 to 776 of the family's 1533-position model. The record is from RNAcentral. Lineage: Bacteria; Bacillati; Actinomycetota; Actinomycetes.
UAGGGAAUCUUCCGCAAUGGGCGAAAGCCUGACGGAGCAACGCCGCGUGAGUGAUGAAGGUCUUCGGAUCGUAAAACUCUGUUAUUAGGGAAGAACAAAUGUGUAAGUAACUAUGCACGUCUUGACGGUACCUAAUCAGAAAGCCACGGCUAACUACGUGCCAGCAGCCGCGGUAAUACGUAGGUGGCAAGCGUUAUCCGGAAUUAUUGGGCGUAAAGCGCGCGUAGGCGGUUUUUUAAGUCUGAUGUGAAAGCCCACGGCUCAACCGUGGAGGGUCAUUGGAAACUGGAAAACUUGAGUGCAGAAGAGGAAAGGGGAAUUCCAUGUGUAGCGGUGAAAUGCGCAGAGAUAUGGAGGAACACCAGUGGCGAAGGCGACUUUCUGGUCUGUAACUGACGCUGAUGUGCGAAAGCGGGGGGAUCAAACAGG